CGGACGGGUGAGUAAUGUCUGGGAAACUGCCCGAUGGAGGGGGAUAACUACUGGAAACGGUAGCUAAUACCGCAUAACGUCGCAAGACCAAAGAGGGGGACCUUAGGGCCUCUUGCCAUCGGGUGUGCCCAGAUGGGAUUAGCUAGUAGGUGGGGUAAUGGCUCACCUAGGCGACGAUCCCUAGCUGGUCUGAGAGGAUGACCAGCCACACUGGAACUGAGACACGGUCCAG
RNAcentral lists this ribosomal RNA (232 nucleotides) under uncultured bacterium. RNAcentral's name for it is "partial 16S ribosomal RNA". It matches the Rfam family "Bacterial small subunit ribosomal RNA", at positions 99 to 334 of the family's 1533-position model. The record is from RNAcentral.